Molecule: ribosomal RNA, 3336 nt
Filed under: Triticum aestivum (bread wheat)
Lineage: Eukaryota; Viridiplantae; Streptophyta; Magnoliopsida; Poales; Poaceae
Description: partial small subunit ribosomal RNA
Source: RNAcentral
AUGGAGUUAUCAAAGCAGGGCCAGGAACCCAUGUCAGCUAGCAUGGGAUCUCAAGCACUCCCCUCUUCAAAUAUCCAACCUGCUCAGUCUGGAUAUCCCGCUGCGUUCUAUCCACCCCUAUCUGCUGGCUGGGGUGCACAGCCAAUGUUCUCUACGGGAGCUUCGGUACCUGUCAGUUCAUAUUAUAUUGUCCCUAUGAGUCAACAAGCUGCCCAAGUUGGUGUUUCCAGGCCAGAGACUUCACAUCCUUUGGGGGUGCAAUCUGUAAGCAGAGUAUCACUGAGGCCGCCCCAGCAGGUGCUGAAUAUUCAAACAUCUUUGCCAGCAGUGACUGGAUCACAGCUGUCGCCAUCUGUUGCCGGAAAGAAAAGUGUUGCUUCUCCAAAGGUCCAGAUGAUGAAAUCUGCAUUAUCUGCCAAGCGUCCUGCACAGAAAGAGCUACCAUCAAAGGCUCAGCCUCAGCAGUUUGAAUCCGUGAGAUCAAAGUUCAGGGAGUCACUUUCUGCUGCACUCGUCAUGGAUUCUGACCAGCAGGAUAAGAAACAAUCUGCUCAGAACCUGCAGUCUGAUGGGUCAGCAGACCAGAAGAAGGUGGAGGGAGAUGAAGUGCAGGAUACAGUGAUGACCACAUCCAAGGAUGCGAGUACAACAAAUUCAGAGGCAGACAAUGCUGAUGUUGCUAAGAAAUGCGAGGGAGAUGAGAAGUUAGGCUGUGGCAUAGCAUCAGACAUGAUCACAAGCACAAAUGAUGACAGUGACACACAACAACAACUAAAGCACCUUCCUUCAGAAGAUGAAGUAUUAGACCAAAGUAUGGUUGUCACAGAUGAACUCUUGCAAGGUCAUGGCCUUUGUUGGGUUUCUGAUUUUCCUGCUGGGAUGGCUGAACCUGUGACACAACCUAAUUUGAAGAGGGACAGGGCUUCUGAUAUUGAGCCUGGGGUUACAGGCAAUUUGACAGAGUCUGAAUCAAAAAGAAUAAAGUCUACAGAUGAGGCAGCAACAGAUAAGGGUAGUAUGAUCCAGAAGGCUGAAAGCUUGGCAUUUAGAAUUGAAGAGGAACUCUUUAAACUGUUUGGUGGAGUGAACAAGAAGUACAAGGAGCGAGGCAGAUCUCUUCUGUUUAAUCUAAAAGAUAAAGGCAACCCUGAGUUAAGGUCGAGGGUCAUAUCUGGAGAACUUGCACCCGAUCGCCUUUGUUCAAUGACUGCGGAGGAACUUGCUUCCAAAGAGCUCUCAGAGUGGCGGUUGGCUAAAGCCGAAGAACAUGAAAAAAUGGUUGUCCUUCCUAACACUGAAGUUGAUGUCAGGCGUUUAGUGAGGAAAACACACAAAGGAGAGUUCCAAGUUGAAAUAGAAGAAACUGAUGGUAUUUCAGUGGAGGUUGAGCUUGGGGGUAAUGUUCUAUCUCAUGUUCCAUCAAAAGCUGUUGAAAGUGAAACAAAAACCAAUGAUGAAACAAGUACGGAUGAUAAAACUGGUGUAGAAGUUAAGGACAAGGGUUCUGAUGGCAUGUCACAAGAUGAGGAUGGUGGGACAGGUGACAAUGAUUCAUCAGGCAAUGUUGAAUAUAUUGAAAAUGAGAAAGCAGAUCUUAUUGAUGAACUUAUGGUGGAUGACUUGAAAGACGCAGAGAAUCUUCCACCAAUUCCUUCGCUAGAUGAAUUCAUGCUGGGGUUAGAUUCUGAACCACCUUUUGAAAAUUUAUCAGUUGGGACCCCGCAAAAAGAUCUCAGUGAUUCUGAUGAACCUAGCUCCACCUUAGAUUCUGAGAAACUUCCUGAGACAGAAGAUAAGCAGUCUGCACAAAAGAAGGCCAGAUCUGAAUCAGAUGUGCCGGCUUUACAGGGUAAAUCGGAGUCCAAGUCAGAAUCACCCAAACAGAAGUCAGAAUCACCCAAGCAGAAGGUUGGUUCAGAGUUGGUUCCUGAUGUGCCACGCGAUGGAGAGAAAAUCAAAUCCUCCCCAGAGAAAGUCGAAUCUAAAGAACCUGCUGCUGCUAGUGCUAAUAUGUCGAAUCCUGUUUCAACUGUGAACCAUAAGACAACUGCUGUUCCUAUGAUUCGUGAGAGUAUAUGGGAGGGUGCGAUUCAGCUUACUCUAUCGUCACUCACGAAUGUUGUUGCCAUUUUCAAAAGUGGUGAAAAGCCAUCUGGGAAAGAAUGGAGUAGCUUAAUUGAAAUCAAGGGGAGAGUUAAACUUAGUGCUUUUCAAGAUUUUCUCGAACAACUUCCCAAAUCUAGGAGCCGCGCUAUAAUGGUAACUGAGCUGUGCUGGAAGGAGUGUUCGUCGGAGAGUGGCCGCCAACAACUCUCGCAGACAAUUGAUUCAUAUAUUGCAGAUGAGAGAGUGGGACUAGCUGAGCCUGCAGAUGGACUGGAGCUGUACCUGUGUCCUCCUCAAGGGAAAACUGUGGAGAUUCUCUCCCAGCACCUGCCAAAGGAGCACUUGGGUGGUCUCGCUGUGGCAGAAACGUCGAUAAUUGGAAUCGUCGUCUGGCGGAGACCCAGCGUUCCUAGGGUGUCCUCCCAUCAGAGGCAUGAUGGUUCCAAGAGGCAGUCAGCCCCAAGGAAACCCCAGGUUACCGGUUCUACUUCGGCCCAUAGGCCCUCCGCGCCCCAGAACUCUCACGGCGUGCCACCAGGUUUUCCCAACCAGCAGCACCACCAGCACCAAGAGGAGGAUGUAACUGAUGACGAUGUGCCCCCGGGCUUUGGGCCUGGCGUUGUUGCGCGCAGGGAUGAAGACGAUCUUCCUGAAUUUAAUUUUGUUAACCCCGCUGCUAAUGUAACGACGCAUGCCUUCAAGGGCCAACGGCAUGUAGCACCGACCUCUGCUCGCCCAGUCGAGCAAAUGAGGGAAUUGGUUCAGAAGUAUGGUAAAAGAUCAUCUGUUGAAUCGCGUCCUUGGGCUGACGACGACGACGAUGAUAUACCAGAGUGGAACCCCAUCCAGCAAAGUAGGCAGCCGCCACAAUUCACACCCACCCCGCAGCAACCACUCCCACCACCACCACCACUACCGCCCAUGCAGCAGAUCCACCAUGCGUACCAGCAGUACAACCCAAAUGCAAUGCAGCCUCUCCUUCCCCAGGUUGCAAUGCAGUACAGCCUUAGUAGCCAGCAGCAGCUCCCUUUGGUCCAGCAGCAGCUUCAGCCUUCGCAACCAUGGCAGCAGCAGCAGCCUAGUGCCUGGUGGCCGGCGACGGCGCAGCAGGGUGGGUCGGCCGCCGCCGGCUCUGCUGUUCCAGCGCCCCAGUAUGGUGGUGUGAUAAUGCCUAAUGGUAGCAGCGCCCAAGCUGGGAACCUAGGUGGCGCCCCCUGGGGACCGAGAUAG